This 28-nucleotide non-coding RNA is filed under the name Macaca fascicularis (crab-eating macaque). RNAcentral also lists the same sequence under 1 other name. The record is from RNAcentral. Lineage: Eukaryota; Metazoa; Chordata; Mammalia; Primates; Cercopithecidae.
UGACAUUCUCCUCCUGUAGGCCCAGGGC